GCGAAUGUAGCUCAGUUGGAGUAGAGCACCCGGCUACGAACCGGGAGGUCAGGAGUUCGAGUCUCUUCAUUCGCACCA
This 78-nucleotide transfer RNA is filed under the name Rhizobium sp. MHM7A. Its description in RNAcentral is "tRNA-Arg". It matches the Rfam family "tRNA". Rfam says of the family: Transfer RNA (tRNA) molecules are approximately 80 nucleotides in length. Their secondary structure includes four short double-helical elements and three loops (D, anti-codon, and T loops). Further hydrogen bonds mediate the characteristic L-shaped molecular structure. tRNAs have two regions of fundamental functional importance: the anti-codon, which is responsible for specific mRNA codon recognition, and the 3' end, to which the tRNAs corresponding amino acid is attached (by aminoacyl-tRNA synthetases). tRNAs cope with the degeneracy of the genetic code in two manners: having more than one tRNA (with a specific anti-codon) for a particular amino acid; and 'wobble' base-pairing, i.e. permitting non-standard base-pairing at the 3rd anti-codon position. The record is from RNAcentral. Lineage: Bacteria; Pseudomonadati; Pseudomonadota; Alphaproteobacteria; Hyphomicrobiales; Rhizobiaceae.